AUUGAACGCUGGCGGCAGGCCUAACACAUGCAAGUCGAACGGUAACAGGAAGCAGCUUGCUGCUUUGCUGACGAGUGGCGGACGGGUGAGUAAUGUCUGGGAAACUGCCCGAUGGAGGGGGAUAACUACUGGAAACGGUAGCUAAUACCGCAUAACGUCGCAAGACCAAAGAGGGGGACCUUAGGGCCUCUUGCCAUCGGAUGUGCCCAGAUGGGAUUAGCUAGUAGGUGGGGUAACGGCUCACCUAGGCGACGAUCCCUAGCUGGUCUGAGAGGAUGACCAGCCACACUGGAACUGAGACACGGUCCAGACUCCUACGGGAGGCAGCAGUGGGGAAUAUUGCACAAUGGGCGCAAGCCUGAUGCAGCCAUGCCGCGUGUAUGAAGAAGGCCUUGGGGUUGUAAAGUACUUUCAGCGGGGAGGAAGGGAGUAAAGUUAAUACCUUUGCUCAUUGACGUUACCCGCAGAAGAAGCACCGGCUAACUCCGUG
This 490-nucleotide ribosomal RNA is filed under the name uncultured bacterium. Its description in RNAcentral is "partial 16S ribosomal RNA". It matches the Rfam family "Bacterial small subunit ribosomal RNA", at positions 30 to 507 of the family's 1533-position model. The record is from RNAcentral.